GCCCACGGCCCGCGAGAGGGGAGGAGGAGAGCAAUAAGCAAGCACCACAUCGCCACCACCUUGAAUUACCGCACACGGCUCCGCUGCUUCGCGACUCCUCUCCGACUCUCCGCACAGGACUCCAACCGCCUCGCCGUUGCAUCGCCGCGGGCGUCAACCUAGGCUGCUGCCGGUACCGGUGCGUCCCCAGCCAUGGCUCGGCCGCCGCAGGAGGCGAUCGACACCUUCGUCAGCAUCACCGGCGCCGACGAGGUCACCGCAGUCCGCGUGCUCGAGGUGACGACGCCUGCCCGUCCCCUCCCUUCCCCGUCUCUACGUUUCUGCUCAUUGGUGUUAUGGUCGGGACAGUUUGGGGAUUCGUUGCUCGGGGUUUCGGGCUAGGUUUCGACUUCGGCUCCGCACGCCGUGGGUUCGUUAGAUGGCGGUGCGUGUGCUUGGCCGUGGCGGAUCGAUGUGAGAUGUACGACUUGAACCAGCCCAGGGUUUCGUGUGCGUAAUCGUAACCCCUUCCCUGUGGGUUUAGGGGUCGCACAAAUUGCGGAAUUUGAGUUUCUAAAGAGUGUAAUGCAUAUGAGGUUUUCUGGUUGUGAUGGGACUAAUCCGUGCACUUAGUUUUUAGUUUGCAUUUGUGCGGUGUGAAAUGCCGAGACUUCACUGGAUCGGGGCGGACGAACAGAGUAAAGCGGGUGCAUCAGAUCUCAUCAAAUGUUGUAACUGUGAAUUCCUUAAUUGUUUAGCCGGUGAACUAAGUUGUAAGUUCAUUUGUGUUAAAUUCUGUUGGAGGUUCAGUUUCUGGGAUGUUAGAUUGGGUGAUUGGGUCGAUUUGGUGAGGGAAAAACACUUGGUGCCUGAUUGGAAUGUUUGUUUAUGUGGGGUCAUGAAUGUUGUUGUCUACUGGCUGGUUGAAGGUUUGCAUUUGUCCUGUUUGAGUUUGUAAUAAUGCAGAGUAAAGAGCGCUGACUGAAACACUUCAAUAAUGUGUGCUAAAUCGUUGAACAUGUGACAUCAUUUGAGCACAUAAGCUCCAGUUUAUUUGUCUCUGAUCUAAUGGUGCAGUUUAAACUGUAAUCCACAGCAAGAAUUGAAUUAUUUCUGUCUCUGUGAUGAAGGUAGGCUCUGGUUUAUGCGUUUCACAUAUCUGUUUAUGUAGUAUCUCUAUAAUUUUUUGGAAAUUAUAAAACUGGGUAUUUUUUGUUAAACAUCGAAUAUUUUUCUAUCUAUCAGCUAUUCUCUAUUCACCCUUUCGCUACAUCAAACUUGGUACUUUUUAACCUAGUAAAAGACUCAAAAGUUAUCAUGAGUAAAUACUCUCUCUGACUGCAAAUAUAAUCUGUUUAGGGCAUUUCCAUUCUAUGCAAAGAAUGUUGUUUCAAAUGAAGAAAUAAUUAUCAUUCAGUGUGCUGCAUAUUAACCCCUAUUGGUUUUAAUUUCAUUAAAUAAUAAGUUGUUCUUAGUCAAAUAGUAUAAUGUGUAACUGAAGAAACGAAGUGCAGAUAUUACACAUAAUCAUUGUUAAUAUAAAUGUGACUGUCUUUUUGGACUAAAAUUAGCAACAAUGGAUGACCAGUUGUUUUUUUACUCAGGAACAUGGUCAUGAUCUAAAUGAAGCUGUGAAUGCUUAUUUUAAUGAAGGAGAUAGGAUCUUUGGGGAAGUUAUCCGUGUGGCUGGAUGGGUCGGAGGAGGCCGGUGUGGGCUAGCCGUGGUGGCCAGCACUCGGGGGCGACGACGACGACGAUGUGCGAUUAUACCGUAAGGGCAUAAUCGGGAUAAGCCUUCGCGGGCCCACUUGCCAGGUGCCCCAAAAGUAUCCGUGACCCCUUCUGGCGAGCGAUCAGACUUGAGCGACCCGUUUUUACGAGUACAGCUAGAAGCGGUGUGUUUUGCAGAGCGGCAAGCUAGAGCGACCCAUUUUGCCAAAUUUCUCUCCACCAUCGAUUCAUUCUUGAAUUGCAAUUGCGUAGGUGGCACUUGAAGAAGCCUCUAUCUACGAGUACGAGUACAGACUACAGACACCACACCCACACCCACACGGCCACACACAGACCACCGUGCGCUGGGGGAAGAGAGCAAAAUUGUCUCUCCAUCUCUCUUAUUUUCUUUUUUAGCUUUAUAAAAUAAUGAAACGACAUUACAACAUUUAUGUCAAGUUUCGUAAUGGUAUUCAAGCGAAGCCCGUUCGAUUAAUGGUAAAGUGUUGAAACCCAGUUUUAAUAAUGGCAUAAUUCAGAUUUGUAUUCAUUCAAGCAGUAAGAAAAUAUGGACAAUUAGCUUAACAACAUAGUAGAGGAAAUCUGAAAUUUAGCAUAGAAAUUUUAUUGGUUGUCAGCAAAAAUCUUCAUGCUCGUGUUGAUGCCCCGGCGGCGCGCCUCGGCCUCGAGCAACGGGCAACGGAUGAGGUUACUUCCGCGUCCACUUUUGAGAAACACUUCGAUCCGAGGGUGCAUGCGGCUGAUGAGCAUGAUCUCCCGCCGUAGCUUGUCAUCUGUCAUUCUCGCCAUCUCCUCCAAAUCCGUCCUAUUGGGCAUUACCACGCCGGGUAUUACUACGCCUACAUAUCUGCCCUCUUCAUCAAAUCUGCCUCCCUGUUGGCUGCCGUCGUCAAAAACAUCCACCCAUGGUACGGUUCUAUGUUUGCGUUUGCGGCCCCUCCCCAUCGCCAAUCACAAAUCCACGGUUAACAAGUCCACGAUCAGCUAGGGGCGGGAGAGAGAUGCGGCGAGGCCUGAGGUUGGAGGUGGCGGUUGCAGACCUGAAGUGGACUAGUAAAAAUUGGCAACUCUGCCUGGGGC
RNAcentral lists this long non-coding RNA (2790 nucleotides) under Zea mays. RNAcentral describes it as "long non-coding RNA (ZMAY_LNC002692)". The record is from RNAcentral. Lineage: Eukaryota; Viridiplantae; Streptophyta; Magnoliopsida; Poales; Poaceae.